GGGAAGAAAGCAUAAUAUGCGGUUGACUUGAAAUUAACAGAUGGCAGAUUUAACCUGUCUCUUUCUC
This 67-nucleotide transfer RNA is filed under the name Elaphe moellendorffi (Flower snake). RNAcentral describes it as "tRNA-Ser". The record is from RNAcentral. Lineage: Eukaryota; Metazoa; Chordata; Lepidosauria; Squamata; Colubridae.